CCUACGGGUGGCAGCAGUGAGGAAUAUUGGUCAAUGGGCGCGAGCCUGAACCAGCCAAGUCGCGUGAGGGAAGACGGUCCUAUGGAUUGUAAACCUCUUUUGUCGGGGAGCAAAAGACGCCACGCGUGGCGUUCCGAGAGUACCCGAAGAAAAAGCAUCGGCUAACUCCGUGCCAGCAGCCGCGGUAAUACGGAGGAUGCGAGCGUUAUCCGGAUUUAUUGGGUUUAAAGGGUGCGUAGGCGGACGCUUAAGUCAGCGGUAAAAUUGCGGGGCUCAACCUCGUCGAGCCGUUGAAACUGGGUGCCUUGAGUGGGCGAGAAGUACGCGGAAUGCGUGGUGUAGCGGUGAAAUGCAUAGAUAUCACGCAGAACUCCGAUUGCGAAGGCAGCGUACCGGCGCCCAACUGACGCUGAAGCACGAAGGCGUGGGUAUCGAACAGGAUUAGAUACCCGUGUAGUC
This 459-nucleotide ribosomal RNA is filed under the name uncultured bacterium. RNAcentral's name for it is "partial 16S ribosomal RNA". It matches the Rfam family "Bacterial small subunit ribosomal RNA", at positions 338 to 795 of the family's 1533-position model. The record is from RNAcentral.